RNAcentral lists this long non-coding RNA (886 nucleotides) under Ananas comosus (pineapple). RNAcentral describes it as "long non-coding RNA (ACOM_LNC030628)". Lineage: Eukaryota; Viridiplantae; Streptophyta; Magnoliopsida; Poales; Bromeliaceae. The record is from RNAcentral.
CAACAGUAUAAAAUAAUACAACGGCCCCUAGGGCUAAAUCAGAUAGUUUAACAUAUGCCGAUUCCAAUCGUGUUUUCUCCUAAGUCAAAUCCCAGUCCAACAUGUACAUUUAAGAUUUACUAGUCAUGUUCUCAAUACUGAUUUUAUCCAGGAUAGCAUCACGAACAUCAAGCUACAACAUGAUUACCGAAACUGAAAAAUCAUACAUGUCGACGAUUACGGUACUUAGGAAUAAACCGAUGUAAACCCACCUCGAAAGCUAUCCCCUGGCAGCGGUACACUCUCACAGCUGUGGCGCCACCUGCUGGGUCGAUCGUAGCCCUUCGAACCCAAGAAUCGCGCUAACUCCAAGCUCUACACCAAACAAUUCACCGUUUCAGUCCAGUUUUCGCAGCAGUGGAGUACAACAAGGAUUUGACCAAGCUAACCUUCACCAAAUCUGGAAAAUAAGGGCUUCAUGGAUUCCUCUCGAAGUCCCGAAUCCAACGAACCAAGUCUCGUCGCGAUCCGACAUUCCUACGUCGCGUACAAGCUGAAAUACCCACGGUCGACGGUGAAUUUCAGCAAAACAGCAUUUCGAGUAGAAGUAGCAGAAUCAGCUGAAACCUCGGAGGAAUUGGAGAAUAGCUCACCACACCCGCUGUCCAACUCCGGUGCGUCGACGAUAACAGCAACGACUCGCGCUCGCACAGCUUCCUCGCGCUGCCCCGACGUCAAGUACGUGCUCGAUCGGUUCCGCGGCGCGACGUCGACGGCGAAAUCUCUCCGCGGCACUCCUCAAGCUUGUCCCCUGCUUCAGUCGCACGAGAAAGAGAGAGAAACGAGAGACUUAAUUAGUGAAGUGCAUGCACACCCUCCUUAAUUAAACAGAUAUGCAUGCAAUGGG